This 74-nucleotide transfer RNA is filed under the name Zostera marina. It matches the Rfam family "tRNA". Rfam says of the family: Transfer RNA (tRNA) molecules are approximately 80 nucleotides in length. Their secondary structure includes four short double-helical elements and three loops (D, anti-codon, and T loops). The record is from Rfam by way of RNAcentral. Lineage: Eukaryota; Viridiplantae; Streptophyta; Magnoliopsida; Alismatales; Zosteraceae.
GUUGGAAUAGCUCAGUUGGUUAGAGCGUGUGGUUGUUAACCGCAAGGUCGAAGGUUCGACCCCUUCUUCUAGCG